RNAcentral lists this long non-coding RNA (398 nucleotides) under Helianthus annuus (common sunflower). RNAcentral describes it as "hypothetical non coding rna". Lineage: Eukaryota; Viridiplantae; Streptophyta; Magnoliopsida; Asterales; Asteraceae. The record is from RNAcentral.
UGAUGUGCAACAUCUGAUUAUAAGUACAAUACAAAACAAGAGAUAACAACUGUUCCACUGUUGUAGCCUGAGCACUGAUGUUGAGCUUCAGUGCUUUCUUCAAAGGUGAUCAGGCUUUGAAUGGGCAGUGCUUGUGUCUUCAGCAGUACUUAGGAAACAUCAGUAGAUAGAGCAACAGUGUUUGUCUUCAGCAGUCUUUAGAGUCUCAUCAGUGUUUGGUUCAUCAGUUGUUAUAGUGAGCAGUACUUAAGAUCCAUCAGCUGUUAGAAUACCACUGUCAAGGGGAAAACCAAGUGAUGUCUGUUUAUUAUGAGUCCACUGUUAUGAUCCGGUUUUGUCUUUCAUUAUCUGUUCCUCUGGUAGGGUUCAAUCCCAACAAUCUCCCCUGGAACAGAUAA